RNAcentral lists this long non-coding RNA (659 nucleotides) under Elaeis guineensis (African oil palm). RNAcentral's name for it is "long non-coding RNA (EGUI_LNC030248)". The record is from RNAcentral. Lineage: Eukaryota; Viridiplantae; Streptophyta; Magnoliopsida; Arecales; Arecaceae.
AAACGGAUCGGAUUAAUCCGUGAUCCGAUCCGACCCGAUCCAAUUAGACCCGACCCGAAUCCAUUUAAAAGACUCAUGGAGCCGGGUCGGGUUCAAAAAUUGGACCCGUUCAUCUUUCCGGGUCGGGUCUGGAUUUUCUGAAUUUGGACCCGACCCGACCUGACCCGUAGAGACUUUUGGAUUAAUUUGGAUCUCAAGAUAUAUGACCCGACCCGAUCCGAUCCGAACCGGAUCCAAAUAUAAGACCCGAACUCAGUUAGAAUGACUCAUCCAAAUAAGAAUUUGGGCUUGGAUCAAAAGGUGACUCACCCAAAUUCUUUCUUAAAUCUNNNNNNNNNNNNNNNNNNNNUUUGGGCUUGGAUCAAAAGAGUGACUCACCCAAAUUCUUUCUUAAAUCUCUUACUAAAAUCUUUAAUACUAUCACACUAUCACAAGAUCAUUAAUGCACUGCACAAGAAAUGUCAUUCUUAUAGCUAAUCUCGAAACUUUUCUAAAAGUCCUUCCACAAAUUCAAAGUAAACUGGAGACAUACCAACAGUUGUUCAUAAUUAAAAUAUCCAGUUAUUUGUUUACUGUUGUACAUUACUAUUGUUUUAGGGAUGGUAUACAAUAUCCACUAUCAAUGGUGAAGUGAGAAGACGUAGGAAGAGAGGAGGGGA